CCUACGGGGGGCUGCAGUAGGGAAUAUUGCUCAAUGGGGGAAACCCUGAAGCAGCAACGCCGCGUGGAGGAUGAAGGUUUUAGGAUUGUAAACUCCUUUUGUUAGAGAAGAUUAUGACGGUAUCUAACGAAUAAGCACCGUCUAACUCCGUGCCAGCAGCCGCGGUAAUACGGAGGGUGCAAGCGUUACACGGAAUCACUGGGCGUAAAGAGUGCGUAGGCGGGGUAAUAAGUCAGAUGUGAAAUCCUGUAGCUUAACUACAGAACUGCAUUUGAAACUGUUACUCUGGAGUGUGGGAGAGGUAGGUGGAAUUCGUGGUGUAGGGGUAAAAUGCGUAGAGAUCAAGAGGAACACUCAUUGCGAAGGCGACCUGCUGGAACAUUACUGACGCUGAUGCACGAAAGCGUGGGGAGCAAACAGGAUUAGAUACCCGGGUAGUC
Molecule: ribosomal RNA, 440 nt
Filed under: uncultured bacterium
Lineage: Bacteria
Description: partial 16S ribosomal RNA
Rfam family: Bacterial small subunit ribosomal RNA
Source: RNAcentral